This 378-nucleotide ribosomal RNA is filed under the name uncultured eukaryote. Its description in RNAcentral is "partial 18S ribosomal RNA". It matches the Rfam family "Eukaryotic small subunit ribosomal RNA", at positions 592 to 976 of the family's 1831-position model. The record is from RNAcentral.
CAAUAGCGUAUAUUAAAGUUGUUGCAGUUAAAAAGCUCGUAGUUGGAUUUCGGAGCGGGCCAGUUGGUCCGCCGCAAGGUGUGUUACUGACUGGUCUGUUCUUCUUCGCAAAGACUGCGUGUGCUCUUCGCUGAGUGUGCGUAGGAUUUACGACGUUUACUUUGAAAAAAUUAGAGUGUUCAAAGCAGGCUGUCGCUUGAAUACAUGAGCAUGGAAUAAUGGAAUAGGACUUUGGUUCUAUUUUGUUGGUUUCUAGGACCGAAGUAAUGAUUAAGAGGGACAAUUGGGGGCAUCCGUAUUUCGUUGUCAGAGGUGAAAUUCUUGGAUUUACGAAAGACGAACAACUGCGAAAGCAUUUGCCAAGAGUGUUUUCAUUAA